CGUGGAAGAGGCAGGAGUGGCCCAAGUGUUCUCGCGCCGUGGUAGUUUGUGUAAGAUAGCGUAGCUUAUUAGUCGUGUGUGCAAAAGUUAAACGGUGUGUUAUCGUGUGUGCUGGUGGUUGAUAACGACAGAUCCGUGACCACGCCGCUACGACGCCCGACAACCCACACCGAACCAUCGAGGCCAUUCUUGACCCCACCAUCAGAUUGCGAGGUUCUCCCGGGGCACGCCGGAAGAGGGACGCGAUCGCCAAUCAACGCGCCCUAGGCAGGGCAUCACCGAAGAAGAAGAAGAGAGAAGGCAACCGUUUUCCGUUCCGUUGGUGACGACCGACGGACAUCGACGCACGUGCCGCGUCGCGCCUUAGAUGAGACCGUAAGUUUCGAUCCGGAGCAAAGCCAUCCGUAGGCGACAACCGCAGUCGCAGCAUCGUCAGCUAGCCCAGCUAGCCCAACCGCCAACCGCCGGCGAACCGCGAUGUAAGAUUCAUCCCAUCCGUUCAACGAACAGCCGUAGCAGCAUCAGCAUCUAGGCAAGCCGCCGACCCGCCGGCGAUCAGCGUGUAGUUUUACCGCCAUCGUCCGCAAGUGAUCACAUGGACGCCGCGUAAGUCGU
Long non-coding RNA from Armigeres subalbatus, 615 nucleotides. RefSeq lists it as uncharacterized. The transcript has 3 exons. NCBI's taxonomy places the organism in Eukaryota, Metazoa, Arthropoda, Insecta, Diptera, Culicidae. The record is from RefSeq and is a predicted model, not a curated record.